CCUACGGGAGGCUGCAGUGGGGAAUAUUGCACAAUGGGGGAAACCCUGAUGCAGCGACGCCGCGUGAGUGAAGAAGUAUCUCGGUACGUAAAGCUCUAUCAGCAGGGACGAAAAUGACGGUACCUGACUAAGAAGCCCCGGCUAACUACGUGCCAGCAGCCGCGGUAAUACGUAGGGGGCAAGCGUUAUCCGGAUUUACUGGGUGUAAAGGGAGCGUAGACGGCAGCACAAGUCUGGAGUGAAAUCCCGAGGCUUAACCCCGGAACUGCUUUGGAAACUGUGCGGCUGGAGUGCAGGAGGGGUAGGCGGAAUGCCUGGUGUAGCGGUGAAAUGCGUAGAGAUUAGGAGGAACACCGGUGGCGAAGGCGGCUUACUGGACUGUAACUGACGUUGAGGCACGAAAGCGUGGGUAUCGAACAGGAUUAGAUACCCGAGUAGUC
RNAcentral lists this ribosomal RNA (440 nucleotides) under uncultured bacterium. RNAcentral's name for it is "partial 16S ribosomal RNA". It matches the Rfam family "Bacterial small subunit ribosomal RNA", at positions 338 to 795 of the family's 1533-position model. The record is from RNAcentral.